GAAGAAAGAGACUGGGAGAGAUGAACAAUGCCUCUCUUCAGUUUUCUGAUGUGAUUCCUUCCUUUACUCUGAAGAUCCUGCUGUUGGGUAAACUCUCACCAUCACCCUGCUGCAACUCCUCCCUGCCACCUACUUGGAUUACCACCCUCAUCUCAAAGCCAGCCCUGGGACACCAGCCUCCUGUUGCUGCAACUGCAGGCCCAGAUGAUUCUUCUGGGAAGAGACCCUUUCAUGGGUUCUUUUCUAGUUCAACUCCAAGGGUGGAGUCCAGCAAUUCUUCCACUUGCAGAUGAGUAACGAAAGAUUGAUAGCUAAAUUCGAAUGCAUUCCUUUCUGACAGACUGCAUUUGCAGAAUGUUUAGAGGCAAUCCCGAAGCUUCAGAGGAUGUUUAUUGCACGAGUCAAUAGGGCAACACCUCCAAGCUGGUACAUACAAACGAAAGAGGAAACAGCAGUUGAGGAAAUCCUGUUCCAGGUUUUCGGGCGGCC
RNAcentral lists this long non-coding RNA (489 nucleotides) under Oryctolagus cuniculus (rabbit). RNAcentral describes it as "lncRNA (ENSOCUG00000037073.1)". The record is from RNAcentral. Lineage: Eukaryota; Metazoa; Chordata; Mammalia; Lagomorpha; Leporidae.